RNAcentral lists this ribosomal RNA (253 nucleotides) under uncultured bacterium. RNAcentral describes it as "partial 16S ribosomal RNA". It matches the Rfam family "Bacterial small subunit ribosomal RNA", at positions 524 to 776 of the family's 1533-position model. The record is from RNAcentral.
UACGGGGGGAGCAAGCGUUGUUCGGAUUUACUGGGCGUAAAGGGCGCGUAGGCGGCGCAACAAGUCACUUGUGAAAUCUCCGGGCUUAACCCGGAGCGGUCAAGUGAUACUGUCGUGCUAGAGUGCGGAAGGGGCUACUGGAAUUCUCGGUGUAGCGGUGAAAUGCGUAGAUAUCGAGAGGAACACCUGCGGUGAAGGCGGGUAGCUGGGCCGACACUGACGCUGAUGCGCGAAAGCCAGGGGAGCGAACGGG